This is a long non-coding RNA of Oncorhynchus keta (chum salmon), 8720 nucleotides long. RefSeq lists it as uncharacterized. The transcript is spliced from 13 exons. Lineage: Eukaryota; Metazoa; Chordata; Actinopteri; Salmoniformes; Salmonidae. The record is from RefSeq and is a predicted model, not a curated record.
CAACAGGAGUUAUAAUACACAAUAACAGCAGUAUACUGUAGGUAGGGGUAAAGUGACUAGGCAACAGGAUUGAUAAUACACAAUAACAGCAGUAUACUGUAGGUAGGGGUAAAGUGACUAGGCAACAGGAGUGAUAAUACACAGUAGCAGCAGUAUACUGUAGGUAGGGGUAAAGUGACUAGGCAACAGGAGUGAUAAUACACAAUAACAGCAGUAUACUGUAGGUAGGGGUAAAGUGACUAGGCAACAGGAGUGAUAAUAAACAAUAACAGCAGUAUACUGUAGGUAGAGGUAAAGUGACUAGGCAACAGGAGUGAUAAUACACAAUAACAGCAGUAUACUGUAGGUAGGGGUAAAGUGACUAGGCAACAGGAGUGAUAAUACACAGUAGCAGCAGUAUACUGUAGGUAGGGGUAAAGUGACUAGGCAACAGGAUUGAUAAUACACAAUAACAGCAGUAUACUGUAGGUAGGGGUAAAGUGACUAGGCAACAGGAUUGAUAAUACACAAUAACAGCAGUAUACUGUAGGUAGGGGUAAAGUGACUAGGCAACAGGAGUGAUAAUACACAAUAACAGCAGUAUACUGUAGGUAGGGGUAAAGUGACUAGGCAACAGGAGUGAUAAUACACAAUAACAGCAGUAUACUGUAGGUAGGGGUAAAGUGACUAGGCAACAGGAUUGAUAAUACACAAUAACAGCAGUAUACUGUAGGUAGGGGUAAAGUGACUAGGCAACAGGAGUGAUAAUACACAAUAACAGCAGUAUACUGUAGGUAGAGGUAAAGUGACUAGGCAACAGGAGUGAUAAUACACAAUAACAGCAGUAUACUGUAGGUAGGGGUAAAGUGACUAGGCAACAGGAGUGAUAAUACACAAUAACAGCAGUAUACUGUAGGUAGGGGUAAAGUGACUAGGCAACAGGAGUGAUAAUACACAAUAACAGCAGUAUACUGUAGGUAGGGGUAAAGUGACUAGGCAACAGGAGUGAUAAUACACAAUAACAGCAGUAUACUGUAGGUAGAGGUAAAGUGACUAGGCAACAGGAGUGAUAAUACACAAUAACAGCAGUAUACUGUAGGUAGGGGUAAAGUGACUAGGCAACAGGAGUGAUAAUACACAAUAACAGCAGUAUACUGUAGGUAGGGGUAAAGUGACUAGGCAACAGGAGUGAUAAUACACAAUAACAGCAGUAUACUGUAGGUAGGGGUAAAGUGACUAGGCAACAGGAGUGAUAAUACACAAUAACAGCAGUAUACUGUAGGUAGGGGUAAAGUGACUAGGCAACAGGAGUGAUAAUACACAGUAGCAGCAGUAUACUGUAGGUAGGGGUAAAGUGACUAGGCAACAGGAGUGAUAAUACACAAUAACAGCAGUAUACUGUAGGUAGGGGUAAAGUGACUAGGCAACAGGAGUGAUAAUACACAAUAACAGCAGUAUACUGUAGGUAGGGGUAAAGUGACUAGGCAACAGGAUUGAUAAUACACAAUAACAGCAGUAUACUGUAGGUAGGGGUAAAGUGACUAGGCAACAGGAGUGAUAAUACACAAUAACAGCAGUAUACUGUAGGUAGGGGUAAAGUGACUAGGCAACAGGAUUGAUAAUACACAAUAACAGCAGUAUACUGUAGGUAGGGGUAAAGUGACUAGGCAACAGGAGUGAUAAUACACAAUAACAGCAGUAUACUGUAGGUAGGGGUAAAGUGACUAGGCAACAGGAGUGAUAAUACACAAUAACAGCAGUAUACUGUAGGUAGGGGUAAAGUGACUAGGCAACAGGAGUGAUAAUACACAAUAACAGCAGUAUACUGUAGGUAGGGGUAAAGUGACUAGGCAACAGGAGUGAUAAUACACAAUAACAGCAGUAUACUGUAGGUAGGGGUAAAGUGACUAGGCAACAGGAGUGAUAAUACACAAUAACAGCAGUAUACUGUAGGUAGGGGUAAAGUGACUAGGCAACAGGAGUGAUAAUACACAAUAACAGCAGUAUACUGUAGGUAGGGGUAAAGUGACUAGGCAACAGGAUUGAUAAUACACAAUAACAGCAGUAUACUGUAGGUAGGGGUAAAGUGACUAGGCAACAGGAGUGAUAAUACACAAUAACAGCAGUAUACUGUAGGUAGGGGUAAAGUGACUAGGCAACAGGAUUGAUAAUACACAAUAACAGCAGUAUACUGUAGGUAGGGGUAAAGUGACUAGGCAACAGGAGUGAUAAUACACAGUAGCAGCAGUAUACUGUAGGUAGGGGUAAAGUGACUAGGCAACAGGAGUGAUAAUACACAAUAACAGCAGUAUACUGUAGGUAGGGGUAAAGUGACUAGGCAACAGGAGUGAUAAUACACAGUAGCAGCAGUAUACUGUAGGUAGGGGUAAAGUGACUAGGCAACAGGAGUGAUAAUACACAAUAACAGCAGUAUACUGUAGGUAGGGGUAAAGUGACUAGGCAACAGGAUUGAUAAUACACAAUAACAGCAGUAUACUGUAGGUAGGGGUAAAGUGACUAGGCAACAGGAGUGAUAAUACACAGUAACAGCAGUAUACUGUAGGUAGGGGUAAAGUGACUAGGCAACAGGAUUGAUAAUACACAAUAACAGCAGUAUACUGUAGGUAGGGGUAAAGUGACUAGGCAACAGGAUUGAUAAUACACAAUAACAGCAGUAUACUGUAGGUAGGGGUAAAGUGACUAGGCAACAGGCUUGAUAAUACACAAUAACAGCAGUAUACUGUAGGUAGGGGUAAAGUGACUAGGCAACAGGAUUGAUAAUACACAAUAACAGCAGUAUACUGUAGGUAGGGGUAAAGUGACUAGGCAACAGGAGUGAUAAUACACAAUAACAGCAGUAUACUGUAGGUAGGGGUAAAGUGACUAGGCAACAGGAGUGAUAAUACACAAUAACAGCAGUAUACUGUAGGUAGGGGUAAAGUGACUAGGCAACAGGAUUGAUAAUACACAAUAACAGCAGUAUACUGUAGGUAGGGGUAAAGUGACUAGGCAACAGGAUUGAUAAUACACAAUAACAGCAGUAUACUGUAGGUAGGGGUAAAGUGACUAGGCAACAGGAGUGAUAAUACACAAUAACAGCAGUAUACUGUAGGUAGGGGUAAAGUGACUAGGCAACAGGAGUGAUAAUACACAGUAGCAGCAGUAUACUGUAGGUAGGGGUAAAGUGACUAGGCAACAGGAGUGAUAAUACACAGUAGCAGCAGUAUACUGUAGGUAGGGGUAAAGUGACUAGGCAACAGGAUUGAUAAUACACAGUAGCAGCAGUAUACUGUAGGUAGGGGUAAAGUGACUAGGCAACAGGAUUGAUAAUACACAAUAACAGCAGUAUACUGUAGGUAGGGGUAAAGUGACUAGGCAACAGGAUUGAUAAUACACAAUAACAGCAGUAUACUGUAGGUAGGGGUAAAGUGACUAGGCAACAGGAUUGAUAAUACACAAUAACAGCAGUAUACUGUAGGUAGGGGUAAAGUGACUAGGCAACAGGAUUGAUAAUACACAAUAACAGCAGUAUACUGUAGGUAGGGGUAAAGUGACUAGGCAACAGGAUUGAUAAUACACAAUAACAGCAGUAUACUGUAGGUAGGGGUAAAGUGACUAGGCAACAGGAUUGAUAAUACACAAUAACAGCAGUAUACUGUAGGUAGGGGUAAAGUGACUAGGCAACAGGAUUGAUAAUACACAAUAACAGCAGUAUACUGUAGGUAGGGGUAAAGUGACUAGGCAACAGGAUUGAUAAUACACAAUAACAGCAGUAUACUGUAGGUAGGGGUAAAGUGACUAGGCAACAGGAUUGAUAAUACACAAUAACAGCAGUAUACUGUAGGUAGGGGUAAAGUGACUAGGCAACAGGAUUGAUAAUACACAAUAACAGCAGUAUACUGUAGGUAGGGGUAAAGUGACUAGGCAACAGGCUUGAUAAUACACAAUAACAGCAGUAUACUGUAGGUAGGGGUAAAGUGACUAGGCAACAGGAUUGAUAAUACACAAUAACAGCAGUAUACUGUAGGUAGGGGUAAAGUGACUAGGCAACAGGAGUGAUAAUACACAAUAACAGCAGUAUACUGUAGGUAGGGGUAAAGUGACUAGGCAACAGGAGUGAUAAUACACAAUAACAGCAGUAUACUGUAGGUAGGGGUAAAGUGACUAGGCAACAGGAUUGAUAAUACACAAUAACAGCAGUAUACUGUAGGUAGGGGUAAAGUGACUAGGCAACAGGAUUGAUAAUACACAAUAACAGCAGUAUACUGUAGGUAGGGGUAAAGUGACUAGGCAACAGGAUUGAUAAUACACAAUAACAGCAGUAUACUGUAGGUAGGGGUAAAGUGACUAGGCAACAGGCUUGAUAAUACACAAUAACAGCAGUAUACUGUAGGUAGGGGUAAAGUGACUAGGCAACAGGAUUGAUAAUACACAAUAACAGCAGUAUACUGUAGGUAGGGGUAAAGUGACUAGGCAACAGGAUUGAUAAUACACAAUAACAGCAGUAUACUGUAGGUAGGGGUAAAGUGACUAGGCAACAGGAUUGAUAAUACACAAUAACAGCAGUAUACUGUAGGUAGGGGUAAAGUGACUAGGCAACAGGAUUGAUAAUACACAAUAACAGCAGUAUACUGUAGGUAGGGGUAAAGUGACUAGGCAACAGGAGUGAUAAUACACAAUAACAGCAGUAUACUGUAGGUAGAGGUAAAGUGACUAGGCAACAGGAUUGAUAAUACACAAUAACAGCAGUAUACUGUAGGUAGGGGUAAAGUGACUAGGCAACAGGAGUGAUAAUACACAGUAGCAGCAGUAUACUGUAGGUAGGGGUAAAGUGACUAGGCAACAGGAUUGAUAAUACACAAUAACAGCAGUAUACUGUAGGUAGGGGUAAAGUGACUAGGCAACAGGAGUGAUAAUACACAAUAACAGCAGUAUACUGUAGGUAGAGGUAAAGUGACUAGGCAACAGGAGUGAUAAUACACAAUAACAGCAGUAUACUGUAGGUAGGGGUAAAGUGACUAGGCAACAGGAGUGAUAAUACACAAUAACAGCAGUAUACUGUAGGUAGAGGUAAAGUGACUAGGCAACAGGAUUGAUAAUACACAAUAACAGCAGUAUACUGUAGGUAGGGGUAAAGUGACUAGGCAACAGGAUUGAUAAUACACAAUAACAGCAGUAUACUGUAGGUAGGGGUAAAGUGACUAGGCAACAGGAGUGAUAAUACACAAUAACAGCAGUAUACUGUAGGUAGGGGUAAAGUGACUAGGCAACAGGAGUGAUAAUACACAAUAACAGCAGUAUACUGUAGGUAGGGGUAAAGUGACUAGGCAACAGGAGUGAUAAUACACAAUAACAGCAGUAUACUGUAGGUAGGGGUAAAGUGACUAGGCAACAGGAGUGAUAAUACACAAUAACAGCAGUAUACUGUAGGUAGGGGUAAAGUGACUAGGCAACAGGAGUGAUAAUACACAAUAACAGCAGUAUACUGUAGGUAGGGGUAAAGUGACUAGGCAACAGGAGUGAUAAUACACAAUAACAGCAGUAUACUGUAGGUAGGGGUAAAGUGACUAGGCAACAGGAGUGAUAAUACACAAUAACAGCAGUAUACUGUAGGUAGGGGUAAAGUGACUAGGCAACAGGAGUGAUAAUACACAAUAACAGCAGUAUACUGUAGGUAGAGGUAAAGUGACUAGGCAACAGGAGUGAUAAAACACAAUAACAGCAGUAUACUGUAGGUAGGGGUAAAGUGACUAGGCAACAGGAUUGAUAAUACACAAUAACAGCAGUAUACUGUAGGUAGGGGUAAAGUGACUAGGCAACAGGAUUGAUAAUACACAAUAACAGCAGUAUACUGUAGGUAGGGGUAAAGUGACUAGGCAACAGGAGUGAUAAUACACAAUAACAGCAGUAUACUGUAGGUAGGGGUAAAGUGACUAGGCAACAGGAUUGAUAAUACACAAUAACAGCAGUAUACUGUAGGUAGGGGUAAAGUGACUAGGCAACAGGAGUGAUAAUACACAAUAACAGCAGUAUACUGUAGGUAGGGGUAAAGUGACUAGGCAACAGGAGUGAUAAUACACAAUAACAGCAGUAUACUGUAGGUAGGGGUAAAGUGACUAGGCAACAGGAGUGAUAAUACACAGUAGCAGCAGUAUACUGUAGGUAGAGGUAAAGUGACUAGGCAACAGGAGUGAUAAUACACAAUAACAGCAGUAUACUGUAGGUAGAGGUAAAGUGACUAGGCAACAGGAGUGAUAAUACACAAUAACAGCAGUAUACUGUAGGUAGGGGUAAAGUGACUAGGCAACAGGAGUGAUAAUACACAAUAACAGCAGUAUACUGUAGGUAGAGGUAAAGUGACUAGGCAACAGGAGUGAUAAUACACAAUAACAGCAGUAUACUGUAGGUAGGGGUAAAGUGACUAGGCAACAGGAGUGAUAAUACACAAUAACAGCAGUAUACUGUAGGUAGGGGUAAAGUGACUAGGCAACAGGAUUGAUAAUACACAAUAACAGCAGUAUACUGUAGGUAGGGGUAAAGUGACUAGGCAACAGGGCUGAUAAUACACAGAAGCAGCAGUGUAUGUGGUGAGUGUGAAAGUGUGUGUUAUCACUUGAACUUGCGGUAGCAGAGAGAACAGUCUAUGGCUUGGGUGGCUGGAGACUUUGACACAUUUUUGGACCUUCCUCUCUGAUGUACAGGGCCAUACUCACCACCCUCUGUAGUGCCUUGCUGUUGGGUGCCAUGCAGUUUCCACACCAAGCGGUGAUGCAGUCAGUCAAGAUGCUCUGAAUGGUGCAGCUGUUAAACUUUUUGAGGAUCUGAGGGCCCAUGCCAAAUCCUUUCCUGUAGUUCACAAUAAGUUUGUUUGUCUUGCUCACAUUGAGGUGGAGGUUGUUGUCCUGGCACCACACUGCCAGGUCUCUGACCUCCUCCCUAUAGGCUGUCUCAUCAUCAUCGGUGAUUAUUGCCUACCCUUACAACCUGGGGGCGGCCCCUCUCCGGAAGUCCAGGAUCCAGUUGCAGAGGGAGGUGUUCAGUCCCAGGGACCUUAGCGUAGUGAUGAGCUUGGAGGGCACUAUGUUGUUGAACGCUGAGCUAUAGUCAAUGAACAGUAUUCUCACAUAGGUGUUCCUUUUGUCCAGGUGGGAAAGGGCAGGCAUCUGUUGAUCUGUUGGGGUGGUAUUUGAAUUGGAGCGGGUCCAGGGUUUCUGAGAUGAUGGUGUUCAUGUGAGCCAUGAUCAGCCUUUCAAAGCAUUUCAUGGCUACAAAUGUGGGCGUUACGAGAAGGUAGUCAUUUAGGCAGGUUACCUUGUCGUUCUUGGGCACAGUGGUCUGCUUGAAACCAGAAGUAUGUGGACAACUGCUCGUCAAACAUCACAUUCCAAAAUUGUGAAAUGUCACGCCAUGAUCUGUUUCACAUGUCCUUGUGCUUGUCUCCACCCCCUCCAGGUGUCACUCAUGUGACACCUCUGUGCCAGUUCAUCUUGUUUGCCAAGUCAACCAGCGUUUAUCUCCUAGCUCCUAUUUUUUCCCUCCUCUGUUUUUUCCAAGUCCUCCUGGUUUUGACCCUGUCCUGACACCAAACCCGCCUGUCUGACCAUUCUUCCUGCCCCGACCUCGAGCCUGCCUAACACCUUGUACUGUUUGGAGACGGACAUGGUUACUGAACCCCUGCCUGUCCUGACCUCGAGACUGUCUAACGCCCUGUACUGUUUGGACUCUGACCUGGUUUAUGAACUCUCGCCUGUACCCGAUCUGCCUUUUGCCUACCCCUUGGGUUAUAAUAGUUAUUGGAGCUCAACCAUCUGCCUCCUGUGUCUGCAUAUGAGUCUCGACUUGUGCCCUUAUAUUAAUAUGGUGUUGGUCCCCCCUUUGCUGCUAUAACAGCCUCCACUCUUCUGGGAAGGUUUUCCACUAGAUGUUGGUAAAUUGCUGCAGGGUAUUGCUUCCAUUCAGCCACAAGAGCAUUAAUGAGGUCAGGCACUGAUGUUGGGCGAUUAGGUCUGGCUCGCAAUCGGUAUUCUCUGAUUGAGAACCAUACUUCAGUAGCCCUUUUUUCCACCUGUCUUUGUGGGAAGUUGACUUUGUUUAGGGCACAUAGCCUUUAGCUUCACGGUUUGUUUUUGUAGUGUUUAUUGUUUUGUUCGGUGUCAUUUUUAUUAAUAAAAGAAAAUGUACGUUCACCACGCUGCACCUUGGUCCUCUUCUUACAACAGCCGUGACAGGUACUGUAUUCUCAUGGUACUGUAUUAUGUUACUGUAUCUUGGUACUGUAUUAACAUGGUACUGUAUUAACAUGGUAUUGUAUCAUCAUGGUAUUGUAUUAUCAUGCUACUGUAUUGUCAUGGUAUUGUAUUAUCAUGCUACUGUAUUGUCAUGGUAUUGUAUUAUCAUGGUACUGUAUCAUUGUAAUGUAUUUACAUGGUACGGGAUUAUGAUCCCUGUUUAAUCUAGCAAGCUGUCCUGGUCCUCCUCCCAUUACUAAUGGAGAUUUCACCAAGGAAAAGAGAGAUGUUGAAGGUGUAAUUAUAGAGGUGUCCUACCAAUGCAGCAGACAGUUUACACUGAGUUUCACAGGCAGCAUCAGAUGUCUGAAUGGAAAAUGGCAGAGUCCUCCAAAGUGUUUACGGCCUUGUGAGAUUUCCACUUUUGAUGCAGAGUACAAUCUACAGAAUUUACCCAAGAAAGAUAAGAUUGCGCACGGUGAAAAAAAGACUCUUCAUUGCAAAGAGGGAUAU